This 252-nucleotide ribosomal RNA is filed under the name uncultured bacterium. RNAcentral describes it as "partial 16S ribosomal RNA". It matches the Rfam family "Bacterial small subunit ribosomal RNA", at positions 524 to 776 of the family's 1533-position model. The record is from RNAcentral.
UACGUAGGGUGCGAGCGUUGUCCGGAAUUAUUGGGCGUAAAGAGCUCGUAGGCGGUCUGUCGCGUCCGCUGUGAAAACUCGGGGCUUAACCCGAGCCUGCAGUGGAUACGGGCAGACUAGAGGUAGGUAGGGGAGAAUGGAAUUCCCGGUGUAGCGGUGAAAUGCGCAGAUAUCGGGAGGAACACCGGUGGCGAAGGCGGUUCUCUGGGCCUUACCUGACGCUGAGGAGCGAAAGCGUGGGGAGCGAACAGG